AGGGCAAGCCCAAGUGCCCUUGAAAUGAUGGUGAUACCGAUCGGCCUUAAUUACGAAUUCAUAGUAAUGGAGCUAUAAAGAAUUAAUACCUAGAGUUUAUAAUUUAUUACAUGGUUGUUGUAGAGAUUUAUACUAUACAUUCAGCUUCAUGUAUAGAAGUUGGAAUAUCAAUGGAAUAAGUGAUGUACAUACUUCCUUUAAUUAGGAAGUGGACGGUUUGUCUCUUGCUCUCUGGUACUGGCAUGGCUAUUGGAUAUAUUAUAUAUGUAUCUACUGUAAUCUACUACUGUU
Molecule: unclassified non-coding RNA, 291 nt
Filed under: Hevea brasiliensis (rubber tree)
Lineage: Eukaryota; Viridiplantae; Streptophyta; Magnoliopsida; Malpighiales; Euphorbiaceae
Source: RNAcentral